Molecule: ribosomal RNA, 794 nt
Filed under: uncultured archaeon
Lineage: Archaea
Description: bacterial SSU rRNA
Rfam family: Archaeal small subunit ribosomal RNA
Source: RNAcentral
ACUGCUCAGUAACACGUGGAUAACCUACCCUUAGGACUGGGAUAUCCCCGGGAAACUGGGGAUAAUACCGGAUAUGUGGAGUUGCCUGGAAUGGUACCUCAUCGACAUCUUGCGCCCCCUAAGGAUGGAUAUGCGUCAGAGUAUGUAGUUGGCGGGGUAAAUGCCCGGCAAUCCAGUAAUCUGUUCGGGUUGUGAGAGCAAGAGCCCGGAGAUGGAACCUGAGACAAGGUUCCAGGCCCUACGGGGCGCAGCAGGCGGGAAACCUCCGCAAUGCACGAAAGUGCGACGGGGGAUAGCCAAGUGCCACUCUUAACGGGGUGGCUUUUGUUAAGUGUAAAAAGCUUUUGGAAUAAGAGUUGGGCAAGUCCGGUGCCAAUCAACACGGUAACCCCGGCAGCUCAAGUGGUGGCCAUUUUUAUUGGCCCUAAAGCGUUCGUAGCCGGUUUGAUAAAUCUCUGGUGAAAUCUCACGGCUUAACCGUGAGAAUUGCCGGAGAUGUUUUUAGCCUUGAGCUCGGGAGCGGCUGGAGGUUUUCCCAGGGUAGGGGUGAAAUCGUAUAAGCCUGGGAGUAUCAGCUGUGGCGAAGGCGUUCAGCUGGACCGGACCUGUCGGUGAGUAACGAAAGGCAGGGGCGCGAACCGGAUUAGAUAUACGGGUAGUCCUGUCCGUAAACGAUGUGGACUUGGUGUUGGGAUGAGUCCGAGCUCAGGCCAGUGCCGAAGGGAAGCAUUUAGUCCACCUCCUGGGAAGUACGGUCGCAAGAAGGAAAGUUAAAGCAAUUGGCGGGGGAGCCA